CCUACGGGUGGCAGCAGUAGGGAAUAUUGCUCAAUGGGGGCAACCCUGACGCAGCAACGCCGCGUGGAGGAUGAAGGUUUUCGGGUUGUAAACUCCUUUUGUGAGAGACGAUGAUAGCGAUGUCUAACGAAUAAGCACCGGCUAACUCCGUGCCAGCAGCCGCGGUAAUACGGAGGGGGCAAGCGUUACUCGGAUUCACUGGGUGUAAAGAGCGCGUAGGCGGGAUAGCAAGUCAGAUGUGAAAUCCUAUGGCUUAACCAUAGUACUGCAUUUGAAACUGUUAUUCUAGAGUACUGGAGAGGUAGUUGGAAUUCUUGGUGUAGGGGUAAAAUGCGUAGAGAUACAGAGGAAUA
Molecule: ribosomal RNA, 353 nt
Filed under: uncultured bacterium
Lineage: Bacteria
Description: partial 16S ribosomal RNA
Rfam family: Bacterial small subunit ribosomal RNA
Source: RNAcentral